This is a non-coding RNA of Acanthosepion pharaonis, 84 nucleotides long. NCBI's taxonomy places the organism in Eukaryota, Metazoa, Mollusca, Cephalopoda, Sepiida, Sepiidae. The record is from the annotation of a GenBank genome assembly.
CGCCGAAACACCGGUUUCCGUACGAUCAUCGAAGUUAAGCAACAUCGAGCCUGGUCAGUACUCAGGUGGGUGAGCGCUUGGGAU